This 193-nucleotide non-coding RNA is filed under the name Clostridium botulinum. RNAcentral describes it as "T-box sequence". It matches the Rfam family "T-box leader". Rfam says of the family: Uncharged tRNA acts as the effector for transcription antitermination of genes in the T-box leader family. The record is from RNAcentral. Lineage: Bacteria; Bacillati; Bacillota; Clostridia; Eubacteriales; Clostridiaceae.
UUAAAACCUGUGAAGAGGAGCAGUAACUAUAUGAAGUUUUAAGAGAGUUAACGGCUGGUGUAAGUUAAUAACCUUAUAUUGUGAAUCCACCUCUGAGGGACUGUGGUAAAAACAGUACGGAUAACCGUUAUAAUUAAGAGAGGAUCAUUUUAUGAUCAAUUAGGGUGGCAACGCGGAGCUUUUCGUCCCUUUU